UUAAAAUGAGUUGUGUUGUGUUUAGAGGAGGAGCUAGUAUGAGAAUGAAAAGGAGACACUCAAAAUGACAUGAAGGUCUUUCCUCAGUGCAUUGUAAGCUUGUCUCUCUAACAUUAACCAUGCUGUGCUGGUUCACCUUGUUAUUUUUAACAUUUGUGGUUAAUGUUGACAAAGUGGCUGAACGUGUGGAUCUGGAGAUCUCCUCUGCUGAAGUGACAGACUCUGCUCUGUACUACUGUACCCUGGAGCCCACAGUGACAGGAAACCCAGAAACACUACAAAAACCGUACUGUAAUAAAGUCCUACUAUUAAACACCAUGUAAUAGGAGAAGUUAAGAUGAGAGGUGGAGAGAUGAUUCUCCUCUAUCUGACUGGAACUUCAGUUCUGCCUCCUGAUAACACACUGUUACACCUAUUACCAUGUUUCUCUACCCAGUGUUUCUCCUCUCUGCACUUGUUGG
RNAcentral lists this long non-coding RNA (461 nucleotides) under Salmo salar (Atlantic salmon). Its description in RNAcentral is "lncRNA (ENSSSAG00000106734.1)". Lineage: Eukaryota; Metazoa; Chordata; Actinopteri; Salmoniformes; Salmonidae. The record is from RNAcentral.